Molecule: non-coding RNA, 426 nt
Organism: Schizosaccharomyces pombe (fission yeast)
Lineage: Eukaryota; Fungi; Ascomycota; Schizosaccharomycetes; Schizosaccharomycetales; Schizosaccharomycetaceae
Source: the annotation of a GenBank genome assembly
AAAACCCCAAAAUAAAGAACACCGGAAGUAAGGAGAAAUAUGAGACGAAAGAAUGUGGAGUAUGAAGUAUAUAAUGAAAGAAACAAAAGGCCUCGUACAAUAAAUAGACUAUUGAAGAAGCGCAUCGCGGAAAUGCUUUUUUGUGUUAUUCUUAAUACCCAUCUUGUUAGCAAAUUCCUCUCUUCUUCUUUGGUCUUGGAAUGAUUUGAUAUGAGAGGCACUAUAAUUCUUACGGCCAUCGCGAACACCAGCUAUACUUGUUUCAACAGCUUGUCUAUAAGCUCGGGCAUUACCACUCAUCGCACGUCUGGCGACGUUCUGAUGAAUAGAAGCACCAUCUCCUACAGCGGUAGAACUAGAGUGAAGAUUUUGGCGGAAGUAGCGAGAUAACGAACGAUGGCCCACACGAUUACCAGAGGGUAAAUG